RNAcentral lists this ribosomal RNA (576 nucleotides) under Chelidurella acanthopygia. RNAcentral's name for it is "Chelidura acanthopygia partial 12S ribosomal RNA". Lineage: Eukaryota; Metazoa; Arthropoda; Insecta; Dermaptera; Forficulidae. The record is from RNAcentral.
GGGGGAACCAAUUUAAUUUAAAUAAAAAAAACAGAAAGGAAAAAUAAAAAAAAAUUCAAGAAAAAAUUUUGGGUCUAAUAACGGAUGAAAUCGGGUACACUAAAUUAAAAAAAUGUUGAAAAUUUCAAUCUUUUCAAUCUAUUAGGUAGAAAAGAGGAUUAGAUACCCUCGUAUUUAAUAUAAAAAAGUUAGUAGUAGUAGAGUGGCAUAAACUCGAAACUAAAAAAAAAUGGCGGUGUUUCUUAGACCGUUCGGAGGAACUUGUCUCUUAAUCGAUAAUCCCCGAAGAGAAUUACUAUGGAAUUUAAAAAUUUGUAUACCGUUGUUGUCAGAAAAUUUUAUAAAAAAAAUUGUAAACUUUCUUGAUCCUAAUCAAAGAGGGAUAAUUCAAAUCAAGGUGCAGUUUACGCCAUAGAGAAGAUGAGUUACAAUAACCUAAAAAAGUUAAACGAAUUUUAAUUUGAAACAAAUUUUAGGAAGGUGGAUUCGAAAGUAAUUUUUAUACCUUAGAGUAAAAAAAUGAGUGAGGCUCUGAAACAUGUACACAUCGCCCGUCGCUCUCAAUCAAUAUCUGAG